AGUGAACGCUGGCGGUAGGCCUAACACAUGCAAGUCGAACGGCAGCACAGUAAGAGCUUGCUCUUACGGGUGGCGAGUGGCGGACGGGUGAGGAAUACAUCGGAAUCUACUUUUUCGUGGGGGAUAACGUAGGGAAACUUACGCUACUACCGCAUACGUCCUACGGGUGAAAGCAGGGGAUCUUCGGACCUUGCGCGAUUGAAUGAGCCGAUGUCGGAUUAGCUAGUUGGCGGGGUAAAGGCCCACCAAGGCGACGAUCCGUAGCUGAUCUGAGAGGAUGAUCAGCCACACUGGAACUGAGACACGGUCCAGACUCCUACGGGAGGCAGCAGUGGGGAAUAUUGGACAAUGGGCGCAAGCCUGAUCCAGCCAUACCGCGUGGGUGAAGAAGGCCUUCGGGUUGUAAAGCCCUUUUAUUAGGAAAGAAAAGCAGCAGGUGAAUACCCCGCUGUUCUGACGGUACCCAAAGAAUAAGCACCGGCUAACUUCGUG
RNAcentral lists this ribosomal RNA (492 nucleotides) under uncultured bacterium. RNAcentral's name for it is "partial 16S ribosomal RNA". It matches the Rfam family "Bacterial small subunit ribosomal RNA", at positions 29 to 507 of the family's 1533-position model. The record is from RNAcentral.